CAGCGUAAAAACCCUUCAUUUAUGCUUUUAUGUAUGACCCGGGUUUACACUUCAUUUAUGCUACAUUAGGAUGAAGAUUUUAUUAAAAACAUGACAGAUUGGUAACAUUAUCGGCGAGCCCUAUAUCAUACUACAAACUGCAUGUCCUAUCCAGAAUACAUUGCACUCGUUGCAAAAACGAUCAAAUAAUGGAUCGUGAUCGUAAGCGCAGUCUAGCUCCUUAAUGACUUCACCAUUUCGAUAUUUGAAACUGUUGGCGUAGGUGUCCAUUUGUGUUGGAUGGGACGAUGAUAGUUUCCACUCCAAUGAAUUACAUAUUUGUCUGACUCUCUCCGAAUGAAGUUGGU
This 347-nucleotide long non-coding RNA is filed under the name Brassica rapa (field mustard). RNAcentral's name for it is "long non-coding RNA (BRAP_LNC005028)". Lineage: Eukaryota; Viridiplantae; Streptophyta; Magnoliopsida; Brassicales; Brassicaceae. The record is from RNAcentral.